Molecule: ribosomal RNA, 253 nt
Filed under: uncultured bacterium
Lineage: Bacteria
Description: partial 16S ribosomal RNA
Rfam family: Bacterial small subunit ribosomal RNA
Source: RNAcentral
UACGUAGGGUGCAAGCGUUAUCCGGAAUUAUUGGGCGUAAAGAGCUCGUAGGCGGUUUGUCGCGUCUGCUGUGAAAACUGGGGGCUCAACCCCCAGCCUGCAGUGGGUACGGGCAGACUAGAGUGCGGUAGGGGAGAUUGGAAUUCCUGGGGUAGCGGUGGAAUGCGCAGAUAUCAGGAGGAACACCGAUGGCGAAGGCAGGUCACUGGGCCGCAACUGACGCUGAGGAGCGAAAGCAUGGGGAGCGAACAGG